Cebus imitator (Panamanian white-faced capuchin) is the source of this 516-nucleotide long non-coding RNA. RefSeq lists it as uncharacterized. The transcript is spliced from 3 exons. Lineage: Eukaryota; Metazoa; Chordata; Mammalia; Primates; Cebidae. The record is from RefSeq and is a predicted model, not a curated record.
CCUAUUCAAGAUGGAGUCACUCUGGUUGAAAGGCCUCUGACACUAUUCUCAUUGUCUCAGCUGAAUCAAGUCUGAGAUUAUACCUCUCCCUCUGUUCCCUUCUCUCUAUGGCUAUUGAACUAUGGAAGCACUCCAUUUACAGGCAGAGAACUCUGCAUUUGAGCUGGGCAGAUGAAGAAACUAAACUGAGAACAGCCAAAUUACUUGCUCUUGUUUAAACAGCUAUUUAGCAGCAGAGCAGAGAAUCAGCGCAACUACCAUUUAUGGAAGGCCAACUGCAGACCAGAGAUACUGUUCUACAGUGUCAGGUGCCCAUUUGGAUCAACCAUCAGACCUAGUCAUGGAGAAAAGGCAGAAAACAGAAUGUAGGAAAGAAUGAGCCAGGAUCUUGUGGACCAAGCCGAAGCCUGAAUCUUCCUCGCCAGAAAAACCCCAGCAACCAAUUACCCUGGACGUGACGCCAAGGCCCACCUAGUGGUCAGCCAUCUGCCUAGGCAGACAAUAAAGCUCAAUUUU